RNAcentral lists this ribosomal RNA (303 nucleotides) under uncultured organism. Its description in RNAcentral is "bacterial LSU rRNA". It matches the Rfam family "Bacterial large subunit ribosomal RNA", at positions 2183 to 2488 of the family's 2925-position model. The record is from RNAcentral.
GAGCCAUCGUGAGAUACCCUCUUUUAAAACUCGGAUUCUCACUCUCUACCUUGUCCGGGGAGAGGACACUCCCAGGUGGGCAGUUUGACUGGGGCGGUCGCCUCCUAAAAGGUAACGGAAGCGCACCAAGGUUUCCUCAGAUCGGAUAGAAAAUCAUCGAAGAGUGUAAAGGCAAAAGGAAGCUUGACUGCGAAACGUACAAGUCAAGCACAGACGAAAGUCGGUCUUAUUGAUCCCACAAUCCUGAGUGGAAAGGGCCUCUCUCUCCGGAUAAAAGUUUCUCUCGGGGUAACAGGCUGAAAA